This 420-nucleotide ribosomal RNA is filed under the name Fusobacteriota bacterium. RNAcentral describes it as "Fusobacteria bacterium partial 16S ribosomal RNA". It matches the Rfam family "Bacterial small subunit ribosomal RNA", at positions 355 to 776 of the family's 1533-position model. Lineage: Bacteria; Fusobacteriati; Fusobacteriota. The record is from RNAcentral.
UGGGGGAUAUUGCACAAUGGGCGAAAGCCUGAUGCAGCGACGCUGCGUGGGGGAUGAAGGCCUUUGGGUUGUAAACUUCUUUUGCUCUGAACAAGGCAUGCCUUUGGGGUGUGUUGAGUGUAGGGGUUGAUUAGCGCCGGCUAACUACGUGCCAGCAGCCGCGGUAAUACGUAGGGCGCGAGAGUUGUCCGGAAUUAUUGGGCGUAAAGGGCUUGUAGGUGGCUGGUUGCGUCUGUCGUGAAAGCUCAGGGCUUAACUGUGGGUUUGCGGUGGGUACGGGCUGGCUUGAGUGGAGGAGGGGAGGCUGGAAUUCCUGGUGUAGCGGUGGAAUGCGCAGAUAUCAGGAGGAAUACCGGUGGCGAAGGCGGGUCUCUGGGCUGUUACUGGCGCUGAGGAGCGAAAGCGUGGGGAGCGGACAGG